RNAcentral lists this ribosomal RNA (253 nucleotides) under uncultured bacterium. RNAcentral's name for it is "partial 16S ribosomal RNA". It matches the Rfam family "Bacterial small subunit ribosomal RNA", at positions 524 to 776 of the family's 1533-position model. The record is from RNAcentral.
AACGUAGGACGCAAGCGUUAUCCGGAGUUACUGGGCGUAAGGCGCGGGCAGGCGGUCUUGCCAGUCUGAUGUGAAAUCUCUCAGCUCAACUGGGAGCAGCCAUUGGAAACUACAAGACUGGAGUCUGGCAGAGGUAGGCGGAAUUCCGGGUGGAGUGGUGAAAUGCGUAGAGAUCCGGAGGAACACCAGAGGCGAAGGCGGCCUACUGGGCCAGUACUGACGCUGAGCCGCGAAAGCCAGGGGAGCGAACGGG